This 67-nucleotide transfer RNA is filed under the name Acipenser stellatus ssp. 'stellatus cyrensis'. RNAcentral describes it as "tRNA-Phe". Lineage: Eukaryota; Metazoa; Chordata; Actinopteri; Acipenseriformes; Acipenseridae. The record is from RNAcentral.
GCUAGGGUAGCUUAAUUUAAGCAUAACCCUGAAGAUGUUAAGAUGGUCCCUAGACACUCCGCAGGCA